Molecule: ribosomal RNA, 196 nt
Filed under: uncultured bacterium
Lineage: Bacteria
Description: partial 16S ribosomal RNA
Rfam family: Bacterial small subunit ribosomal RNA
Source: RNAcentral
CUGCAACUCGCCUGCACGAAGUCGGAAUUGCUAGUAAUCGUAGGUCAGCAUACUACGGUGAAUACGUUCCCGGGCCUUGUACACACCGCCCGUCAAACCAUGAGAGUUGGCAACACCCGAAGUCGGUAGUCUAACCGCAAGGAGGACGCCGCCGAAGGUGGGGUUGAUGAUUAGGGUUAAGUCGUAACAAGGUAUC